This 478-nucleotide ribosomal RNA is filed under the name uncultured Bacillus sp. RNAcentral describes it as "bacterial SSU rRNA". It matches the Rfam family "Bacterial small subunit ribosomal RNA", at positions 372 to 841 of the family's 1533-position model. Lineage: Bacteria; Bacillati; Bacillota; Bacilli; Caryophanales; Bacillaceae. The record is from RNAcentral.
UGGACGCAAGUCUGACGGAGCAACGCCGCGUGAGCGAAGAAGGUCUUCGGAUCGUAAAGCUCUGUUGUAAGGGAAGAACAAGUACCAGAGUAACUGCUGGUACCUUGACGGUACCUUACCAGAAAGCCACGGCUAACUACGUGCCAGCAGCCGCGGUAAUACGUAGGUGGCAAGCGUUGUCCGGAAUUAUUGGGCGUAAAGCGCGCGCAGGCGGUCUCUUAAGUCUGAUGUGAAAGCCCCCGGCUCAACCGGGGAGGGUCAUUGGAAACUGGGAGACUUGAGUGCAGAAGAGAAGAGUGGAAUUCCACGUGUAGCGGUGAAAUGCGUAGAGAUGUGGAGGAACACCAGUGGCGAAGGCGACUCUUUGGUCUGUAACUGACGCUGAGGCGCGAAAGCGUGGGGAGCAAACAGGAUUAGAUACCCUGGUAGUCCACGCCGUAAACGAUGAGUGCUAAGUGUUAGAGGGUUUCCGCCCUUU